UAGCGGCAGGCCUAAUACAUGCAAGUCGAGGGGUAGUGUAGCAAUACAUGAGACCGGCGCACGGGUGCGUAACGCGUAUGAAAGGUGUCCAGACCUCUGGGAUAGCCCCCGGAAACGGGGAUUAAUACCGGAUGGCCCGUUAGAGUGGCAUCACUUUGACGGUAAAGCUCAGGCGGGUCUGGGUCCUCAUGCGUACGAUUAGCUAGUUGGCGGGGUAACGGCCCACCAAGGCGACGAUCGUUAGGGGUCCUGAGAGGGAGAUCCCCCACACUGGUACUGAGACACGGGCCAGACUCCUACGGGAGGCAGCAGUAGGGAAUAUUGGGCAAUGGGCGCAAGCCUGACCCAGCCAUGCCGCGUGCAGGAAGAAGGCCCUCUGGGUUGUAAACUGCUUUUGGGAGGGGACAAAAAGCGGGUGCGCCCGUAAUUGAGUGUACCUCCAGAAUAAGCACCGGCUAACUCCGUGCCAGCAGCCGCGGUAAUACGGAGGGUGCAAGCGUUGUCCGGAUUUAUUGGGUUUAAAGGGUGCGUAGGCGGCCAAAUAAGUCGGGGGUGAAACCCACAGGCUUAACCUGUGGAGUGCCCUCGAUACUGUAUGGCUUGGGUUAUCUCUAGGCGGGCGGAAUGGAAGGUGUAGCGGUGAAAUGCAUAGAUAUCUACCAGAACGCCGAUAGCGAAGGCAGCUCGCUGGGGAUAUACCGACGCUGAGGCACGAUAGCGUGGGGAUCAAACAGGAUUAGAUACCCUGGUAAUCCACGCCGUAAACGAUGGCCACUCGGUGUCAGCAUUAAGUGUUGGCGCCCAAGCGAAAGCGUUAAGUGGCCCACCU
This 829-nucleotide ribosomal RNA is filed under the name uncultured bacterium. RNAcentral's name for it is "bacterial SSU rRNA". It matches the Rfam family "Bacterial small subunit ribosomal RNA", at positions 37 to 874 of the family's 1533-position model. The record is from RNAcentral.